UACGAACCGUGCGAACGUUGUUCGGAAUCACUGGGCUUAAAGGGCGCGUAGGCGGGCUGCCAAGUCUGGGGUGAAAUCCCACGGCUCAACCGUGGAACUGCCUCGGAUACUGGCGGCCUCGAGGGAGGUAGGGGCAUGCGGAACUGUGGGUGGAGCGGUGAAAUGCGUUGAUAUCCACAGGAACUCCGGUGGCGAAGGCGGCAUGCUGGACCUCUUCUGACGCUGAGGCGCGAAAGCCAGGGGAGCAAACGGG
RNAcentral lists this ribosomal RNA (253 nucleotides) under uncultured bacterium. Its description in RNAcentral is "partial 16S ribosomal RNA". It matches the Rfam family "Bacterial small subunit ribosomal RNA", at positions 524 to 776 of the family's 1533-position model. The record is from RNAcentral.